Oncorhynchus kisutch (coho salmon) is the source of this 4179-nucleotide RNA transcript. It is a transcript of the gene named coiled-coil domain-containing protein 110-like, with no coding region annotated. The record is from RefSeq and is a predicted model, not a curated record. The transcript has 4 exons. NCBI's taxonomy places the organism in Eukaryota, Metazoa, Chordata, Actinopteri, Salmoniformes, Salmonidae.
ACUAGGCUAUGAUUUAUUGGGGAGCAAGAAGUUUAGCAAGUCUUGAAACUAAUUAGCUACGAUUAUUAAUUAGCAGUUUGAACGUGUCAUGUUCAAGCAAACAGAGUUUCUGCAGAGGGGACGACCAAACGUGUUGUCAUCUAGCCAUCACCCCAGAGAGCAUCAGCAGCUUUAGAAGGCUCCUGCACACCUGAGGCCCCUCUGUCUCCAAGAGAAGGCAACAAGGUUGAGUGGAGCACACUGGUUUCACAGCACAUGGAGAUAACACAGACUCUUCAUAAUUGUAACAGCAAAUCAGGGAUAUCUUCAGAAAAGUUGAACAAUGUUUCAUUGAUGAAAGAAACAAAUGAAUCAGAGAUGCGUAGAGCAUCCUACAGGCAUUCACCGAUGGCGUUCGACUCUGCCUGCUCCCCAAGAUGCAGUGGCUCAGGAGACCGAGCUCUCGUGACAAACUAUAAAUCUGAGAUGAUAGUCGAUUUGGAGAAUACGGUGGACAGACUGAAAAACGCUCUGGUGUCAAUGGAGGAGGACAACCUGAGCCUCAACAAGAAGAUAAGAGAAAACAAGGCGGAAGACCGCCCAUCUUUGGCCAAUCACAAUGUCUUAAGCUCAAGAAGUGACAACAAUUCACAGGAACGCCCAUCUUUGAUCAAUCACAAUGUCUUAGGCUCAACAAGUGGCAACAAUUCACAGGAAAUGGCUGGUGAUCACAGUCCCAACUCCAAACUCACACUGUCACUUUCAACAUUGCCAAAACAUACCCAGAAAGUCAGAGGCAAGAUACACCAUCCAAGAUAGAGGAGACUAGGAUGAGAGCGAUGCUCAAAAUGGAGAGCCUAUCCUUGGAGGACAGGUGCGUUUACUUGGAGAAGGAGAAACAGGACUUGCGGAGGAAGCUGCGGAAGACAGAGGACUACUGCAAGGAGUGCGUCCGCGAGCUCAAGAGGAUCCUUCCAAAGUACGAGGACCUCAAAGCCUUGAAUAAAACCCUGGAUAAGUGCAACAAGCAGCAGGCCGCAGAGAACCGCAGACUCGUCAACGCUCUUGAGGCCGAGAGCCAGGCAGGGGAGAGAUCCAGGGAUCCCAGCCUGGCUCGGGAGCCCAAAGAAGGGGAUGGUGACAACCGGGUGUGGGUUCAACUGGAGAGGGCCAAUGAUCGCUGCACCCAGCUCACCCAGGAGAAGGGGCAGCUGGAGGACCGAAUGGCCUCGCUGGCAAGGGAGGUCAGCCGGCUCACGAACGAGCUGCAUAUGAGCUGGGCCGAACUCCAUCGGCUGGGGGCCAGGUGUAGAAGCUCCCUUGAGGGGAGCACGACUAGGGACUGCAGCCCUCUGGCCUCGUCGGGCAACAAACACCUGGCCGAACGCAUCCUAGACAGCGUAGGGAGCCCUGUCGGGCUCCGUGGCCCAUCUCAAAGAGGAGAACAAGACACUACGAGAGAACCUCAAGCAGAGCGUCAAGAGGGGUGAGGAGGCAGAGGGCGGAGCCAAGCAGCUGAGGGGAUUGCAGGCCAUAUUAGAAAGCUGCCUGCUCACGGUGCAGCAGGAGAAAGACCUGCUAACGCUGGAGGUGCGGCAGCUCCACCAGGAGUACAUUGAUCUCAGCAGUAGCAUCUCGCUGCAACUGAGAGAGAGGAGCCCCGUCACCACUGCCAGGAUAUUAGCAGGGUCACAUGAGGUGAUUGAUGAUGGAGCCAGGCAGCAAGAGAGUCCAAGGCAGCCUCUGAACAGCAGCCCUAUUACCAGAGAAAUGCUGGAUGGCCCUGUAGGCGGAGAGGCAAUUGACCAUAUAAGGAAGCGUUUUGAGGAGGAGGAGCAGAGAGCCCAGAGGUACAAAAACAUCAUCAAUCAGAAUGAAUGAGGCUGUAGCUGGAUCAGUCGGCCAGGCAGACUGGGUGUUGACCUCUACCUCCCGUACCACGACCUGUGUGACAGAGGAGUCAGGAGGAGUCAAACACAAACAUACUGUAGCUUAUCGUAGAGCUCUCUGCACCACUUUACCAACAAUGUGCCCGUCACAGUCAUGUACCAUAUGCACAGUAUAGAUUUGAAUUCCCUGAUUAUAUUAUGCUUUUCAAAUUAUUUUGUCAGUGUUAUCAUUUCUGAUGUUAUUUACUUGAGAAUUGGAGCUACUGUAGAUAACUGACAUAUCAAGGCUUGGGAUGAUGCCAGUAUUACCAUACUCGUUAGUAAUGUUGCAAGGAAACAAAACAUGAACAAUUGGCCCAGCGUCGUCUGGGUUUGACCGGGGUAGGCAGUCAUUGUAAAUAAGAAUUUGUUCUUAACUGACUUGCCGAGUUAAAUAAAAAAAAUCAUCCAGGCCCUAUUUGUUGCUGUUGUGGAUCACAUGACCCAUGUAGUUUCAUUUGGAGAAGGUCUGGAUAUUUUUGGACAGUAGGGGGAGCUGUUGUAUCAUUCAUGAGACACCUCUCUAUUAGGAUCUAUUAGACCUCAACAGGCAAAAGGGGUCAUCACAGUUUAUGUUGGUAGUAUGUAGUCUGCUGUAUGCAUCAUUCAUUCUAACAUGUCUAAUUAACAUCCACUGGGCAUUACAAUCCAGUUGGUGAGGUGUUAUAUUUGAUUCCCUUGUUUAUAGGCAGGCCUAGUAUUAUAGUGUUUGCUAUUUUGCACCCAAAGACCCAAUAAGUCAGAUGGAAACCCACCAUUUUGAGUUAACACUUUAUUUGGAUAAUCCAUCUGUAGAUGCUCUACAGACUAUCUACUAACCGUAACCCUUACACUAACCGAAACAACCCUUACCGUGGCAAGCAGUUGCUUAUCAACAGAUAGUAUAACGAUCUGCAGAGAUUCUACAGAUUGACUAUCUGUAUUAUCCUAAUAAGGUGUGACCCCUUUUGACUCCUUAUGGUUACACAGAUGGCAGAUGAGCACAUUAGGAUUCUGUAUACCCUGCUAGCCAUGCCAUGCUAAUCAUUGGAUGGCUUUUGUGGGACUAUAUGACUCACAUCUCAGCGUGUCUUGAGGCUUUCAUUCUUAUCCGUUACCCAUCUGUCUGGCAGUAAGAGUUGUUGUGUUGCAUUGUUGUCAUCAGGCCACUUAUGCUUAGCUACUCCUGCCAACUUUAGUCUAUUUAGGCAUUUCAGGAAGAAAGAACCCCAUUCUUUGACAGAAUCAAUACAUAUUUCUUUGUCUCCCACCGAAAACAUGUUUUACUUUCUGACUUGUCCGAUACCCAUUUGUCUGGCAGAAAGAAAGAUGUACUGCAUUGUCAUCAGGCCACUUAUCCUGAGCAACUUUAGUCUAUUGAGUAAUUUCACAAAGUAAAAACUCAGUUUGACAGAAUCAAUACUUUUUUUGUUAUGUGUCCCGGGAAACAUAUUUUUGACCUCAUGACAUUCAUUCUCUCACUGAUACCUCACUGAUGUAACUGCUGCAGUCAUUUCAUGCUACAGUCAGCAUGUGAGUCAUUAAAUCAUUAUUCAAUGUCUAUCUGUCGUAAGAAAAUAUUAUAUGGGCAUUUGAUAUUGAUUCUGUUUCACAAAUACUCAUACGAGCCUAUAACUUUGACUUCAAAAUGCUAGAUGGAUGGAAAGCCAAGCGGUAAGUCAUCAACUUCACUGCUUGCAUCCUAAUGUGAUUCCGUAGUGAACACAGACAGUAUCAAAGGGAAAAUGACAUGCGUCUUAAACCACAUUGCUCAUGUCCUUCAGACUUGAUUUAGACCGGGGGCAGCCCGGUCUAGCCCCCCCACGGGCUCCGCUCUCUGUAAGCCGCAGGUCAAUAACUUUCGACAGCCUGAUAAACCAUUAUUGGCUUACGUGCUGAAUGGUCCAUGAAUGAGUUACUAAAAACAGAGGCAUUGAACCAAUCCCCGCCACACAACCGCAGUGAUGGGCUAAGAAACAGGAAGAAAGGACAGCCUCUUAAAUGAUCCAGAAAUAUAGUGAGGACAUACUCUAGCGGUAAUGAGACUGUUUGCUGCAACCAAAGGCGAGGGAGGGGUUCCGGAUCUGUCGUGGACUGUCUAAUAAUAUAGCGUACAUAUAAUUGUGCCAGAGUUGCAAUAUACACUGAGUGUACAAAACAUUAGGAACAUCCUAAUAUUACGUUGCACCCCUUUUUGCCCUUAGAAUAGUCUCAUUUUGUCGGGGCAUGGACUCUACAGGGUGUCGAAAGCAUUCCACAGGGAUGCUGACCCAUGUUGACUCCAAUGCUUCCU